UUUGGCCCAAUAACACACCAUAGCCCACACGCCUGGACACCUAACCCUUCGGCCUUCGUUGCGGACCCGCCACUCACUUCUUCUCUCGACCGCAUCUUUUCUCCGCGCCGCCGCUCGCCUGCACUUCUACGUGUGAACCGCGUCCGCGCCUAUGGCCUGCCCGUGCCCAGCUGCCCCCUCUCCACACGAGCCUCUCUAGGCGUCAAGCGUGCCAUUAAGCAACCGUGGCCCCCACCCCUCCUCGGCUCUCUGCGUGAGCACAAGCACGUCUCUGUAGCCCAUGUUCAACGGAAGCGAAAGUGCCGCUGGACCACAUACGAUUGUUGAUGGUAAAGAAGUUGUGAACUUUGCAUCAGCAAACUACCUCGGUUUAAUUGGCAACGAAAAGAUUAUUGAUUCUUGCAUCAGUUCAUUGGAGAAAUAUGGUGUUGGUUCUUGUGGUCCACGUGGCUUUUAUGGAACAAUUGAUGUCCAUCUUGACUGUGAGUCAAAGAUAGCUAAAUUUUUGGGGACUCCAGACUCCAUUCUUUAUUCAUAUGGGAUUUCUACAAUAUUCAGUGUGAUACCUGCCUUCUGUAAGAAAGAAGAUAUCAUAGUCGCGUAAGUUCACCGUAUUACAAAAUUAUGAAAUUCACAAGUAUUAUUGGAACCUUGACUUGUUUGGUGUAUCGAGUUAACUGUACAUGGGUAGUUUGAUGUGAUUGCGGUGACGAGGGUGUUGACUGUUUGGUGAAAUGCUUGGGACAAAGUGGCCAACAAGAAUGGAGUCAUGGAACAUCGACAGGAGGGGUGCGGCAGCAGCAACCGAUGUAUCCCUUGGACAAUCUGGUUUUGACAAGAUGCAAAUCAAUCCGCUGUACACUGUAUUCCGCACUUGCACAGAUUGUUUGGUUAAUUACAAGAUUAUCUCAGUGUUUUGAUUGGUACACUUAUGUAUGAAAUAUUGAUUGGUACUCAUCUAUAUUAUAUGAAUUAUAUUAUUAUUAAAUA
RNA transcript from Zea mays, 990 nucleotides. It is a transcript of the gene named long chain base biosynthesis protein 1b-like, with no coding region annotated. The transcript has 5 exons. Lineage: Eukaryota; Viridiplantae; Streptophyta; Magnoliopsida; Poales; Poaceae. The record is from RefSeq and is marked provisional.